Homo sapiens (human) is the source of this 512-nucleotide long non-coding RNA. Ensembl annotates it as ILRUN antisense RNA 1. Its record names the gene ILRUN-AS1. Lineage: Eukaryota; Metazoa; Chordata; Mammalia; Primates; Hominidae. The record is from Ensembl.
CCCGCGUGACCUCACCGCUGCGGGGCGAUGGAGCGAAAAGUAGGAAGGAGGAAAGAGAUGGUCCAGCCGUGGGGGGCGGGGGAGGCUUCUGGCCAGACCAUUACUCCGCCCCGUCCCCACCCUCAAGGAGAGCCGUUAAAGCCUGGGGCUGCGGGAGAAGUUGAGGGAUUUUCGUUUAUAACAACUCUACCAUUUUGCAGGUGAGGAAACUGAAGUCCCGGGAGAGACAGUGGCAAGGUCAAGUAGCAAAGUGCACUCAGCCCUCCCAGCAAGGAGUCUGCCACUCGCGCUUGAAGGACGUGUUUGAAGAGCUGCUUUCCCAGUGGGAUGCUGCCUUAAAGUCUUGAUUCCCUGGCACUCUUUCCUAUUACUACAUUUUAUCGGUGCUGUUUGUGUUAUGCAACGGUAGCAUCGUGUCUCCGGAAGAUAAAAAAGGUCUCGAUACAAACAUCCAUAACCUUCCACCCACUCCGUCAGGAACAACCCAAUCAAAAUAAAGUCAUGAGAAUUUA